This 165-nucleotide ribosomal RNA is filed under the name uncultured bacterium. RNAcentral describes it as "partial 16S rRNA". It matches the Rfam family "Bacterial small subunit ribosomal RNA", at positions 355 to 511 of the family's 1533-position model. The record is from RNAcentral.
UAGGGAAUCUUCGGCAAUGGACGAAAGUCUGACCGAGCAACGCCGCGUGAGUGGAGAAGGUUUUCGGAUCGUAAAACUCUGUUGGUAGAGAAGAACGUUGGUGAGAGUGGAAAGCUCAUCAAGUGACGGUAACUACCCAGAAAGGGACGGCUAACUACGUGCCAA